UGAGGAACAUGACCUUCGGCGGGGGAGUAGCCGGCCCAACGGCCGGGUAAUACCGCGUACGACCACAUGGGGACAUCCCUGAGUGGUGAAAGCAGCAAUGCGCCGAUGGAGUGCCUCGCGGCCUAUCAGCUAGUUGGUGAGGUAACGGCUCACCAAGGCAACGACGGGUANCUGGUCUGAGAGGAUGGCCAGCCACAUUGGGACUGAGACACGGCCCAGACCUNUAACCGGGGA
Molecule: ribosomal RNA, 234 nt
Filed under: uncultured bacterium
Lineage: Bacteria
Description: partial 16S ribosomal RNA
Rfam family: Bacterial small subunit ribosomal RNA
Source: RNAcentral